UGACAGAGAAAGAGAGAGGCAGAGACACAGGCAGAGGGAGAAGCAGGCUCCAUGCAGGGAGCCCAACGUGGGACUCGAUCCUAGGUCUCCAGAAUCAGGCCCUGGGCCGAAGGCAGGCGCCAAACUGCUGAGCCACCCAAGGAUCCCCUGCCCCCAAUAUUUUAUGGCAACACGAGAAGUCGCAGAGUUUACUGUCCGAGCAUACAGCCCUCACUUUGUGCCCUUGUUGGCACCAAUCCUGGCCUUGUCCUUACUGGCCGUGACCCUCGCCAAAGCCCCGGGCACAGAGGCCGCCCCCUACCAGGGACAGUGUCUCUCAGGGUUACUCCAGCCAAUCACUGCCUCGCAGGCACCACGGUGGCAUCGACCAUUCGCUGUACCUGGCUCGCAUCUCACAAUCUCCCAACAAUCCUAGCGCAGCAGCCGGGACCCCCACUUGACAGCUGAGGAGGCUGGGGGUGCAGGGCUGGAGAGUUAGCACCUUGCCCAAACUCACUCAGCUCAGCGGGCAAGAGGGGCCAUCAGACAUGCAGGGAGACGUGCGUGAACCGGUGCACCUGCGUGUGCCGCACGGGCACGUGCAUACGGAGCGCGGGUCCCUUUCUCAGCCACAGGACGCGACCGGCCACACGGCUGGGUGUCCGCCUACGUCCCUGGAAGCAGAAGCCCCGGCUGUGGUCAGAUUCCCCCAUCCUGCAGGCCCCGGGUGGCACCCCGGCCCACCCCCGCCGUCGGGAACCGAAGGCUGGUUUCAGGUGGUCCGGGGAGGGCGGUGGGGCGGGGAGCAGAGCCACCUCCCCAGGGUCUUCCAGCUCGGCCUGUAGGGAGAGGAGACACAGAGCCCACUCCUCGCCCAGUGACGCCCCACAUCACAAUGGCUGUUCUACCCCAGCCAGGCCUGGGAAGAGGCGCCAGGGGGGCCCCCACUCUGGCGUGAGGGCAACCAGACAGCGCCAUGGGGACCCCUCGGGACAAGCGCUCGGCCGCUCUGGGCUCGGAACCCGACGCCGCCCGGAUACCGCUGCUGGAACAAAGGUCGCCCGGAGCACCCCGGUGGAACUAUCCCCAGGGGCCUCCUCCUCCUCCUGGUCCUCGGCCUCCAGGUGCUCCGAGUCCUCCCCCGUUGUACAUCCAAAGCCCCCAGGCCUUUCACCCCGGGCUCAGCAGCUUGCCUAGGAUGGGGUCUGCUACCCCCAUACAGUCCGUAUGUCCCUACUGCGGGAACUACAUCAUCACAGUGACCAACCCGGUCCCGGGGACCCUCACCUGGCUGCUGUGUACAGUUCCUUGUGUNCCCCCCCCCCCCCCCCGUCCACCUUUUCCCCCGCAGGGGCCCUGAGCAUCCCCAGGGACAGGGACAGAUGGCCUGCUGGGUUGGGGGAGGGCUGCCUGUGGGGCGGACAGGCCGGGCAGGCGCAAGGGCAGGCGGGGGCCCAGGUGAGGACGUCGAGGCUGCACCCCCACCCCGCUGCUCCUGAGGCUGCAGGUGCUUCCUGGGCUGCUGCCUCCUCCCCUUCUGUGUGGACAGCCUGAUGGAUGUGAAGCACACGUGCCCCGUGUGCCAGCACGAGCUCUUCCGCUACCGUCGCCUGUGAAUGUCCGCGAAAUAAAUGUCCAUUAAAUGCCGCUUGUCUGCCCA
Molecule: long non-coding RNA, 1639 nt
Organism: Vulpes vulpes (red fox)
Lineage: Eukaryota; Metazoa; Chordata; Mammalia; Carnivora; Canidae
Source: Ensembl